Molecule: long non-coding RNA, 1335 nt
Organism: Gasterosteus aculeatus aculeatus (three-spined stickleback)
Lineage: Eukaryota; Metazoa; Chordata; Actinopteri; Perciformes; Gasterosteidae
Source: Ensembl
UCCCACAUGUCAAAAACAAGACAUCUGAAAUGAGUUAAGCUUGAUUAAUCUUGAUGUGUGCAUCUUCUCACUGAACAUGACUUGCGUUACAUGAACCGACGUCACGCCGCACUGAGAGAAUCAUCCUCACUAUACGACACAGUUUUCAAAGGGAGACUUUUUUUUUUUUUUAGUUUUAGUGUCGUUGUAGUUUCUAAGCAACAGAAAUCCGGGUACGAAGAGUUCGAUGAAGCAGCAGACGGCUUCACGAGGAACGAGCGACUUCAUCUCAAGUUGAACAACAAGUAUCAUUGCAGCUACAGAUUCGACGGGCACAACUUGAGAGCAACUGGUCUCAGAGCUUCUGAAUACAUAAAUAUGGACUCCGCCCAAGUCUGAAAUGCUAAGGAGCAACCGUAGUUCUUCACUACUCAUCUCAUGUGCUGACCACCGGCCUUCUAAAGCCAGGUUAACACGCUGAUCCGUCCGCAUCCACUGUUUUCAACGUGAGCAAGAUGGCCGCUGCUGGGAGAAGGCCCUCGCGGUCGGCGCGCCAUGUGACCACGGCAACCACAGAAAACCUCAGCAAAGGAACCGAUACAGGAGCCGGAUAUCACAAUGACUUGGCCUCGGAUUCCCUGUGCGGUUGCAAAUUCCCAACGAGGACACUGAAGUCAAUGCCCAUCCAAUUACUUCGUUCUAAAGUAUGUAAAAUCAUGCAACGGUGAGGAAAGGAAGGAUUAGGCUACGGCUCGACUAUAGCAUGAGGUUCUCUUUCCUUCCAAAGACUCUGAAUGUCAAAUCUUUUUUUUUCUUUUGUGUGUGUGUGUGUGUUGUUUAAUUAGAGAAUGCUUAUCAUAGACGCAUGGCGCGCUACUGAGAGGUGACAGCACCCCAGUGUUGUAAAAUUAAUUAUAUCACUAAUGUGGACCCUGUGCAUGUGAAAUAGCUGAACUCUCCCCAAAUAGCUCAUUAAUCUUCAGACAGCCACUCCUGGACUAGGUGAAGUGGUCUUGAAUUUCAAUACCCAUCCUUGCUGGUUGUAACCUUUCCCUCCUCUCGCUCGAGCAGCCGAUGGGGGAACAGGAGCAUUGGAGAGAGAAUAAUAUUGUCUGCAGCGGUAUCUCUAGCACUUCUCUCUGUGAGUCAUAUAAUUACACACACCUACGCAGUUUUCCUAAACACACACACACUCUCUCUCACACACACACACUUGCGCAAAACCAGGCUUAGAGUUUAAAGUGGAGUACGCCCGAGAAGUGCUGAUGUAUCCUAUGAUUAUUAAAAAAAGAAAAAAUACUGCCCGCCGCACUAGCAUAAACAAAUCACUUGAAAUGAAAUUUUUCAGGUAAUAAA